GGAGAGGUGACCGAGAGGCCGAAGGUGCACGAUUGGAAAUCGUGUGUACUGCAAGGUACCGAGGGUUCGAAUCCCUCCCUCUCCGCCA
This 88-nucleotide transfer RNA is filed under the name Desulfuromonadales bacterium C00003096. RNAcentral's name for it is "tRNA-Ser". It matches the Rfam family "tRNA". From Rfam's summary of the family: Transfer RNA (tRNA) molecules are approximately 80 nucleotides in length. Lineage: Bacteria; Pseudomonadati; Thermodesulfobacteriota; Desulfuromonadia; Desulfuromonadales. RNAcentral also lists the same sequence under 1 other name. The record is from RNAcentral.